GUCAGAACCAGGACGGACUGAACUUUGAACAGCAGCAGCAAUGGACACAAACAGACUGAAGAGGAGGCAGGACCCCUAUCAGCAAUAUCUGGAGCAGGAGGACAAGAGAGACCAGAGGGGGAGACGGUAGCUUCCCAAGAGAGGCAGUUUCCAGUUUCUUGUCUGAAACGUCCUUGGAAGACUAAAAAGGGGAAACAUCACCAUGUCAAUGAUCAUACAAAGAAGCACCAAUGCAGCGCCUGGGAAGCAGUGAUCUAAUCCUUCCAUGGAUCCGAACCCCCGUCCUUCCGAUCAUGGGGAAGCAAGGCUACCUACUGAACUGGCCCAGUUGUUCCUCAUUUUGUUUUUGUACUCAGGAGGAAUGCUGCUGUGUUCAGACACCAAAUAAAGAGUUUUGCACAUCAUGA
This is a long non-coding RNA of Oreochromis niloticus (Nile tilapia), 407 nucleotides long. RefSeq lists it as uncharacterized. NCBI's taxonomy places the organism in Eukaryota, Metazoa, Chordata, Actinopteri, Cichliformes, Cichlidae. The transcript has 3 exons. The record is from RefSeq and is a predicted model, not a curated record.